RNAcentral lists this ribosomal RNA (374 nucleotides) under uncultured Alphaproteobacteria bacterium. RNAcentral describes it as "bacterial SSU rRNA". It matches the Rfam family "Bacterial small subunit ribosomal RNA", at positions 521 to 896 of the family's 1533-position model. The record is from RNAcentral. Lineage: Bacteria; Pseudomonadati; Pseudomonadota; Alphaproteobacteria.
UAAUACGAAGGGACCUAGCGUAGUUCGGAAUUACUGGGCUUAAAGAGCUCGUAGGUGGUUAGAAAAGUUAGUGGUGAAAUCCCAAGGCUUAACCUUGGAACUGCCACUAAAACUUUUUAACUAGAGUGUGAUAGAGGUAAGCGGAAUUUCUAGUGUAGAGGUGAAAUUCGUAGAUAUUAGAAAGAACACCAAUUGCGAAGGCAGCUUUCUGGAUCAUUACUGACACUGAGGAGCGAAAGCAUAGGUAGCGAAGAGGAUUAGAUACCCUCGUAGUCCAUGCCGUAAACGAUGUGUGCUAGACGUUGGAAAUUUAUUUUUCAGUGUCGCAGCAAAAGCGUUAAGCACACCGCCUGGGGAGUACGACCGCAAGGUUA